GUGCUUGCUUUGGCAGCAUAUAUACUAAGACUGGAACAAUACAGAGAUUAGCAUGGCCACUUUGCAAGGGUGACACGCAAAUUUGUGAAAUGUUCCAUAUAUUG
Small nuclear RNA from Cercocebus atys (sooty mangabey), 104 nucleotides. Lineage: Eukaryota; Metazoa; Chordata; Mammalia; Primates; Cercopithecidae. The record is from Ensembl.